AAUGCCCAGCUUGAGAAUCUGGCGCCUGCGGCGUCCGAAUUGUAGUCUGGAGAAGCGUCCUCAACGGCGGACUAGGCCCAAGUCCCCUGGAAAGGGGCGCCGGAGAGGGUGAGAGCCCUGUCGAGGCUGGACCCUGCCGCACCACGAGGCGCUGUCUGCGAGUCGGGUUGUUUGGGAAUGCAACCCCAAUCGGGCGGUAAAUUCCGCCCAAGGCUAAAUACGGGCGAGAGACCGAUAGCAAA
RNAcentral lists this ribosomal RNA (242 nucleotides) under Populus sp. Its description in RNAcentral is "partial large subunit ribosomal RNA". It matches the Rfam family "Eukaryotic large subunit ribosomal RNA", at positions 104 to 344 of the family's 3401-position model. Lineage: Eukaryota; Viridiplantae; Streptophyta; Magnoliopsida; Malpighiales; Salicaceae. The record is from RNAcentral.